CCGAGUGAACCCGGGGGCGUGGGAACCGCCCCCCCCGCCGCUCCCCACGGUCCCGCCGUGACUCAGCGCCGGUUCCCGCCGGUGACAUCAGCCCCCGGUGCCCGUCCCGGCGCUGCGAAGGCACCGGGACCCUCCGGAUCCCCGUCGCGAACCCCCCGGGACUGCGGGGGACGGGGCCGGUGCACUCCGGUACCGGGAUCCGAUCCUCAGCCCGGUCCCGGUGACCCCCGGGGGGGAGUUCCCACCGCUCCGGUACCGGGAACAGCUCCAGCCCGGGACGGUGCUCGAGGGGUUACCGGGAUAUCCCGGGAGAGGUCCCGGAGGUACCGGGAGGGAUCCCGGGGGGGAUUACCGGAGGUCCCGGGGGCUCCUGGAGGACGCCAGGGGAUCCCGGGGGCGGAAACGCGGAGAUCACCGGCGGGAUCCCGGCGAGAUCCCGGCAGGUCACCGGGGGAAGCCCACACCGGGGAGACGCCCCGGAGGGGGCGGGGGAUACCGGGGAUCCCCGGGGUGGGGGUGGGGCGGCGGUGUUACCGGUGUGGGGGAGGGGCUCGGGGCUCUCGGGGGGUUCCCGGGACCGGGAACCGGAGGACCCGGCCGGGUUUUCGGGGGUCCUUGUCCCGUUCCCGGUAUCCUGGGGAACCCGGUCCAUUCUCGGGGUCCCGGGUCCAUUCCCGGUGUUCGGGGGACCCCGGUCCAUUCCCGGUGUCCCGGUCCAUUCCCGGGGGUCCCGGCCCCGGUUGUCCCGGAGGGUUCGGGGUGUCCCGAUCCAUUCCCGAGGGUCCCGUUCCCGGUGUCCAGGAAGGUUCGGGGGGUCCCGAUCCAUUCCCGGUGUCCCGGUCCAUUCCCGAGGGUCCCGUUCCCGGUGUCCAGGAAGGUUCGGGGGGUCCCGAUCCAUUCCCGGUGUCCCGGUCCAUUCCCGGUGUCCCGGCCCCGGUUGUCCCGGUUGUCCCGGAGGGUUCGGGGGACCCCGGUCCAUUCCCGGUGUCCCGGUCCAUUCCCGGUGUCCCGGCCCCGGUUGUCCCGGAGGGUUCGGGGGGUUCCGGUCCAUUCCCGGUGUCCCGGUCCAUUCCCGGGGGUCCCGUUCCCGGUGUCCCGGUCCAUUUCCGGGGUCCCGUUCCCGGUGUCCCGGAGGGUUCGGGGGGUCCCGGUCCCGUUCCCGCUGUCACGGUCCAUUCCCGGGGGUCCCGGCCCCGGUUGUCCCGGUCCAUUCCCGGUGUCCCGGUCCAUUCCCGGGGGUCCCGGCCCCGGUUGUCCCGGUCCAUUCCCGGUGACCCGGUCCAUUCCCGGUGUCCCGGUCCAUUCCCGGGGGUUCCGUUCCCGGUGUCCCGGUCCAUUCCCGGGAGUCCCGGCCCCGGUUGUCCUGGUCCAUUCCCGGUGUCCCGGUCCAUUCCCGGUUGUCUCGGUCCAUUCCCGGGAGUCCCGGCCCCGGUUGUCCCGGUUGUCCCGGAGGGUUCGAGGGGUCCCGGUCCACUCCCAGUGUCCCGGUCCAUUCCCGGGGGUUCCGUUCCCGGUGUCCCGGUCCAUUCCCCGGGGGUCCCGGCCCCGGUUGUCUCGGUCCAUUCCCGGGGGUUCCGUUCCCGGUGUCCCGGUCCAUUCCCGGGAGUCCCGGCCCCGGUUGUCCCGGUCCAUUCCCGGUGUCCCGGUCCAUUCCCGGUGUCCCGGCCCCGCUUGUCCCGGUUGUCCCGGAGGGUUCGGGGGGUCCCGGUCCAUUCCCGGUGUCCCGGUCCAUUCCCGGUGUCCCGGCCCCGUUGUCCCGGUUGUCCCGGAGGGUUCGGGGUGUCCCGGUCCAUUCCCGGUGUCCCGGCCCCGUUGUCCCGGUUGUCCCGGAGGGUUCGGGCCGUUUCUAGAACCGCGGCCGGUCCCGUUUCUAUUAAUACGCGGCCGCGCUGCGGCGGCGGCGGCGGCGGCGGCGGCGGCGGCGGCGGCGGAGGGAAUCCCUGUGACGUCAUUGCUAGGAUACCAAACAAACACUCCAGACAAGCCCAAAUUUGGUUAAUUGCGUCACAGGAACUCCGGGGGGCGGGGCCGGGGGAUCCCCCCCGCUCCCGGCGCUCCCCGCCGCCUCUUAACGGCGGCGGCGGCUCCCGGAGCCUCAAACGGCGACGGCGGCCGCGGCCACGGCGGUUCGGAGCUCCGGGAGGGUUCCGGGGGGUCCCGGUGGUCCCGGAGAAGCGGCGGCGGCCGCCGUGA
Long non-coding RNA from Taeniopygia guttata (zebra finch), 2193 nucleotides. NCBI's taxonomy places the organism in Eukaryota, Metazoa, Chordata, Aves, Passeriformes, Estrildidae. The record is from Ensembl.